CGCAGUCGAUUUCCAUCGGAAUGUGAUUCAUCUGGGUGACCCACACAAACCAGUGACUCUCCAGAAACCUUCAAAAGGGAACGGGCAAAAAGGGCGACAAUCGAUAUUGCAGAUCGGGAGAGCGGAAAACGUUUUUCACUGUAAUGAAAUGUUUUCCUAAAACUAAUGCUGACUGUGGGACUAACUGCCAUCCUCUGGUACCAGCCGAUGUUCAGGCCACGCAGUCUUCCGCACUGGGAGAAGUGAUUUCUAGUGCUUGAGCAGCAAUCAGCUAAUGGCUCUGAGGAGGCAACACCCUUGGCCAUCACCGUGCAGAACAGAUGGGUGCAUGAGGGAUGACGCGGUUCUGCGUAUCACCAAGAGAGAUGAUUCUGCACCAGAGGAAGCUGAUUCAAGCAGAAGGACACCCCAAGACGCUGAAGUAACGAGCAGUAAUUUAUCCAAAGUUCCAGGUGCCUGAAGACCGGGGAUGUGGGAGUUUCAGGAUGAAACGUGGGUACAGAAUAUGCAGCGUUAAAGCGCAAGAAACCCCCCUGAAAGAUUUCCACUGUUGAUCAACGCGUUUCACCUAGGAUGCUCAGAAUGAAUUGCGGCCAGAUCAGAAGAUUGAGUGAAAGAGCAUCUCUUAUCUCCCCUCGGAUUUUCGGUGAGCCUCGAUAGCUUAGGGAGCUGGGUCACAGCUAGAUCGUGACAAUAAGGAGAAAUGGAGACGGGAGCAGUGGAGGUAAAAGAGCCAGAACACUAAGAAGAAAUGCUGUUGGAAGAGGUCUGGCUUUACCCAGUCCAUUGUCUUCCAGCAAAGAUUGACUCUUUGUUAAUGCCACCGGUUGCAGCAGGAUGCUCAGCAGUGUGUAAGGGCAGCUGGGUUUCCCUUGCGGUCUUUAUCACAAAGACAUCCUUCUUGCCUCUCCGAGACCCACUGAGACCCUGCGUAUGGCAACGGCAGGAGAACCAACCACUGCUGACAACUGGCAGCUUGUAGCCGGACACGGAAACCUCCACUGCUUGGGAGGGCGAUGAUUCAAGUAGCCUCCACAAUGUCUUAUCUCAGGCUGAAUUGUCUACUGAGGGGAAAAGAAACAGAGCCACAGAUUUUAUAUCAGAAGAAGCUUUGUAAGUAAUUCCAAGGACUGUUGUGUAAUUUUGCCCGGGAGAAUCCGUUAACGAGGUGUGAACAUCCCUUAUAGCUUCUGGUCCUGCUGAAAUCAGAGGAGGCAUAUGAGGGGAGCAAGACUGCAGUUUAUCAAGCUCAGUGAUGCAUUUUGGCUACUGUUCAGACCCCUUAAAACAGGUUUCCGAAGGUUUUACUUGUGUAGGAAGUUAGACUUUCUUUUUUUUUUUAUGUGGUAUAUGAGUAAAAGAAAACUGACCAGUGACUCCCUGUAUUCAUGAUGAAAAAUCAGCUAAAAUUUAGGAUAACUGUUCUUUUGUGCAAUAGAUAAUCAGAAAAAAAUAGAAAUCGAAAUAAUUACUGCACCGUUCCGAAUGUGAUGGUUACAUUUAAAAAGACGCUAAACAUAAUUUAUUAAUGUCUUUUCUGUUUAUGUUUGUGAGAUGGUCAGCAGUCAACAUACAAAGUAACUUCAUUUUUGCUGAGAUCAGGAGAGAGCCUUGUCUUUCAUGGACGACGGUGCAAAUGUGCAGAAGCAGGGGUGCCGCACUCAGUGCAGUAGCUGCAGCAUUGCUAAAGGGAAGGGAAUAAAAGGUGUUCGAUCCAGUGUUUUGCAGGCAUAGAAUUCCAAGCUAGAAAGAUGGGAGGUGGCAAUCAGGUGAUGUUCAGAGCAAGAAGGGAUGCAGUCUGGUGGGUCUUCGUUUCUAUGGUUACCUUCAACCGGAAUUGCUGUAACUAGGUCAGAUCGGAAGGUGUGAGUGAAAACAAAGAAAUUGGGAAUCCGUAAUGAGGGUUCAGAGAGAAGACUGUUGCUGCUGGGGAAAGCAAGAAGGGAGCUGGAUGCGGAGAGAGGCAUUUUAAUGUACAUUUGAAAUGUAUAUGUAUGAUGUAUGAAGUCCCGCACAGAGGGAUCUGUGUUUUAGCAUCAUUCGCUCUUCUAGCAUUAUUCAGCACCCUAUUGUAUGAAGAAUCAGCCGCAGACCGCCAUCAAGCAGACAGAUAAUGUGAUAUACCUGCCGUGACACCAUUCCUCCCACUGGCUGCACGUCCUGGCAGAAGCUGUAGAGAUGGAAGAGCGCAAGGGUUUUGCUGGAAAGGGGAAACAAACCCAAGGGGAGGGAAGAUGAGGCAUCCUCAGUCCAGAAAUGAGGAGAAACAGGUUGUAAAAGUGAUCUGAAAAGAAGCAGCGUGGGUGCGGAUUGCACUGCAGAGCCUAUGCACCGUUCCUCCAUUGAUGUCUUGGGUCCUUGGCCUUUUCUGCUUGCUCCAAACCCUAAAUCUGGUUCAUGAUAUAAUUUUCCAGGCUGUGUCUUUAUCUGGCAUAUAACAUGGACCACCACGCCUCUGUCCUUUCCAUCCAGGACCAGCCGCUUGGUGUGUUGGUCCCUUUCCCACGUUUCUUACCUCCCCAGCGCAGGACUGGGCGUUUGCUGGUGCUGAGCUCUGUGAUGUUGGAUUCAAACUUGAAAAGGGCAGGUUUAGCUUAGAUAUUGGGAAGAAAUUCUUGGCUGUGAGGGUGGUGAGCCCCUGGCCCAGGUUGCCGAGAGAAGCUGUGGCUGCCCCAUCCCUGGAGGGCUUCAAGGGCAGGUUGGACGGGGCUUGGAGCAACCUGGGCUGGUGGGAGGUGUCCCUGCCCAGGGCAGGGGGUUGGAACUGGAUGGGCUUUAAGGUCCCUUCCAACCCAAACUGUUCUGUGAUUCCAUGUCCUCAUCAGCCUGCCCCCUCUUUCCUACCCUCCGGCACCCCAACUGCUGCCCCCAGUUUGAUACCAUCAGCAAAUCUAUAUAAAGGUGCGUUUAUCCCAUUCCCCUGGUUGGAAGGUGAGGCAUUUAAAUAGCCCUGGCACCAGCGUCGAUGCUUUGAGGAAUGCAUCUUGUAACCGGCUACUUUUUGAGGGAGACAAGAUGAUGAGGUCUAUAGGGAGCCCUCAAAUAUGCCCGAAAUAAUUCCAUCCUGUGCCUAUGGCUGCACCAACGGGAUGUCACGGCCUGUAACUUAUCACGGCCGGAGAUGCCAGGCAGCUGCCUGUUGCGGGGGCCCCGAUUUUCCUCCUUUUCAGUGAUUUCCAUCACCAAACCGCAGCCCAGCCGCAUCCCCGGGGGACGCCGCAUCCCCGGGAGCGCGGCGGCCCC
This is a long non-coding RNA of Chroicocephalus ridibundus (black-headed gull), 3243 nucleotides long. RefSeq lists it as uncharacterized. The record is from RefSeq and is a predicted model, not a curated record. NCBI's taxonomy places the organism in Eukaryota, Metazoa, Chordata, Aves, Charadriiformes, Laridae. The transcript has 5 exons.